GACCCGUCUUGAACCACGGAGUCUAGCAUGUAUGCGAGUCAUUGAGAUAAUAAAACUGAAAGGCGCAACGAAAGUGAAGGCGCGCGCUAGCCGCGCGCUCAGGGAGGAUGGAGCUUCGAUCUAGGUCGUACUCUCGCACUCCCGAGGCGUCUCGUUUCCAAUCUGUGAAUGCAGGCGCGCUCUGAGCAUAAAUGCUGGGACCCGAAAGAUGGUGAACUAUGCCUGGUCAGGUCGAAGUCAGGGGAAACCCUGAUGGAGGACCGUAGCGAUUCUGACGUGCAAAUCGAUCGUCGGAACUGGGUAUAGGGGCGAAAGACUAAUCGAACCAUCUAGUAGCUGGUUCCUUCCGA
RNAcentral lists this ribosomal RNA (350 nucleotides) under Ascalapha odorata (black witch). RNAcentral's name for it is "eukaryotic LSU rRNA". It matches the Rfam family "Eukaryotic large subunit ribosomal RNA", at positions 646 to 964 of the family's 3401-position model. The record is from RNAcentral. Lineage: Eukaryota; Metazoa; Arthropoda; Insecta; Lepidoptera; Erebidae.